Lactuca sativa (garden lettuce) is the source of this 1019-nucleotide long non-coding RNA. RefSeq lists it as uncharacterized. The record is from RefSeq and is a predicted model, not a curated record. Lineage: Eukaryota; Viridiplantae; Streptophyta; Magnoliopsida; Asterales; Asteraceae.
UCACUUUCAUUUUCAUACGAUUUCACAGCCGCUGUCAUAAUCAACCCUGUGAAACUAUAUCUUGUAACUAUUCAACUACUGGCUUAGGAGGAUAUGCAUAUCUGAAAAUCAUGGAUCGUUUUGAUAAAGUUAUCGAUCUGCGUCAUUUUCGGUCUUGAUAAUCAGCAAAACUUUUUUGUGUCGAUUUCAAAAACAAAUUCUCUAUCAUGCUUCUAGAUCCAAAAACUAGCAAAGUUCCGCAACAUUUUAAAACAAAAAUCUUUCUAGUAGAAUCAGAUCGGUACCAGUUAGGUGUUCAUUGCAUUUCAAUGGUUUUGUCGGUUUGUCAGAGGCCGCUCUGCCUUACCCUGUCAAAGAAUUUGCAGAUCUGAUCUGUAGUUCUUGACGUGCUUAUUCCUUAAAUAUCAAUAUAUUUGGGGCUUUUCCAGUUUAUUCACUUCUCGGGUUUGAGGAUUGAUAAGUAAAAAUUCAGUACGAGAGGGAGAAACGCAUAGCAAACCAUUUGAAGAACCGAGUAGAUGACGCGUGCGACAGACAGACAGAUAAGAUUUUAUCAGGGUCAUCUAUCCAAUCACCACAGCGCGUAGCAGACAUAGCAAUUCUCGGGCUUCCCAUUUUGUUAUUUUCACAAUCCCGGUGAUAAAUGUGUUCGAGAUGGGAUUUGAUGAAAUUAGAUUCAGAGUUCAAUCAUUUCCAUAACUUUGAAACGCUCCUGUAACGGAUCAGAUCCCUCACCUCUAACCUUAUCAGUAUUAGUUGAAUCAUUUCUUUGGGCAACUGUGCCACUGAAACCCUAGAACUGAAUGCCCGAGUUGGAAAAGAGAGUGUGGGUUGUGUGUGAGAAUAUGAAAUGUAUAUAUUUUGGUAUGCGAAAUUUGUAUAUUUUGGUAUGUGGAAUUAGAUGAAAUAUAUGAAUGUAUAUGUAAAAUAUAUAUGCAAAUUUGUAUAUGUAUGUGUGAAUAUGUAUGAAAAAAAUGUAUAUGUAUGUGUGAAUAUGUAUGAAAAAAAAUGUAUAUGUA